CAUUAUCCAAUCCUGGAAAACCGUAUUUCAUAAUUUGAGAGACCCGAUUCGGUUGAUCCAAUUGGGAUGGCUUUGGUGUAUCAGGAACGAAUGGUGUUGCAGCUGACACCGUUCCAAAUAUCGGAAGUGCUGGCAUUGCGUGUGUACCUGUUUAAUAUCUUUGCCAGCAUGAAGAACAUAAGGAUUAACCGAUUGGUCAAUAAGUGUGUUGCAACGAUUCCGUUCAUAUGUAAUGCCACCUAUGAAACUGCCAAUUGUGAGACCAGAUAACGUGGCAAGACGAAAUGCAAAUUUUUUGUUCAUUUUCAAUUCGAUAUCACGGAUAAAUACCUCACAGCCAAACUAUUGCUUCAAGUUUUAUUGAAGCAUAUUUAAAUUCAAAAAUUUCAACCACAAGUCCCGAACACAGAGCGGACGAUAGUAUGACUUUUGAAUAGAUUGAGGCUAAGGGGUAAUCAUGAAGCAUUUGUCAAAUGAACCAUGAAUCAAAUUGGCAAAUUUGAAACGACAACGAAAUGAAACCACAAACGUUCGCUGACACCUGAAUUGAAAACAAUGAUUUUUCAUUUAUUUUUCAUAUUUAUUUAUUUUUUUAUUCAAAAUGGAAAAAAAAAUUGAAUACAAAACUAGGGGAAUGGUUUCUUUUAAUGCAAUGAUGAAAAUGACCAGUAGUUCUAACAGAGAAAUGUUACGAUUUUAGUAGAGAUGCAAUCAAUUUGAAUUGAUUUUCUUGUUUAUUUCAUUAAAAAUCCACUUAGCGCUAAUUUAAAUAUUAAAAAUACGUUCGUAGUUGCAUUUAGUUAUUUUUGUUUGUUUGUUUGUUUUUAGAAUUAGGGUCAAAUUAAAGGUACAUUCGUGGACAUUGGACAAAUGAAAAUUACUAUAUCUAAUUUGUUAAAUACUCCAGUUUUUUUUUUUUUUGUCAUUAGAAACAUGAAUAAUCUCUCGUGGUUACUGUUGUUCAAACCAAAUUGAAAUUUAUGAAGAAAAAAUCCUGUUUUGUUUUAUUAAAUUAGCUCUCACA
Sitodiplosis mosellana (orange wheat blossom midge) is the source of this 1024-nucleotide long non-coding RNA. RefSeq lists it as uncharacterized. The transcript has 2 exons. The record is from RefSeq and is a predicted model, not a curated record. Lineage: Eukaryota; Metazoa; Arthropoda; Insecta; Diptera; Cecidomyiidae.